GUUUAGGGGUAANCNUGAGAAACCCGAAAAGUCGAAGGGAGAAAUUCAUCGUCGUUUCGAGGCAGGCGUCGGACGGUGUGUGCGUGCGCGGGCGUUUACGUUCGCGCAUCCUCCGUCCGUUCGGUCCGGUCGCGAACGCGUGCAUUUUUCUUCCGGUAGGACGUCGCAAUCCGUUGGGGUUUUAUAUAAAUCGGUCUACGGCUCGAGGUGGAGCUCGUUGACGCGCGCGCCCUUAAAAGCGUCGUCGUCGACGGACCCGCGAAGUCCCGACCGAUACCCGACGGUAUAACAAAUGAUCGCGGGCCGCUCUUCUUUGAUGAGCGUUCGACGCGGCGCAAGCGCGCCGGCUAAGCGUCGGCGAUCGGACCUGGUGCCGAUUCCGACCGCCGGUGACUGUUGGCGUCGCAGUUCUCGAACCGCGCUCGAUCGAUCGAUUGGCGACGCUAUAGCUUUGGGUACUUUCAGGACCCGUCUUGAAACACGGACCAAGGAGUCUAGCGUGUGCGCGAGUCACUGGGACCGUAUACGAAUCCUAAAGGCGCAAUGAAAGUAAGAACGCGGCUUCGCGCCCGUUCGGGGAAGACGGGCGGCUAGCGAUAGUCGCCUCGCAUUCCCGGGGCGUCUCGUUCUCAUCGCGAGAUGAGGCGCACCCCGAGCGUACACGCUGGGACCCGAAAGAUGGUGAACUAUGCCUGGUCAGGACGAAGUCAGGGGAAACCCUGAUGGAGGUCCGUAGCGAUUCUGACGUGCAAAUCGAUCGUCGGAACUGGGUAUAGGGGCGAAAGACUAAUCGAACCAUC
This 800-nucleotide ribosomal RNA is filed under the name Campyloscelina gen. sp. A BHJ-2011. RNAcentral describes it as "eukaryotic LSU rRNA". It matches the Rfam family "Eukaryotic large subunit ribosomal RNA", at positions 407 to 944 of the family's 3401-position model. Lineage: Eukaryota; Metazoa; Arthropoda; Insecta; Coleoptera; Curculionidae. The record is from RNAcentral.